Molecule: ribosomal RNA, 253 nt
Filed under: uncultured bacterium
Lineage: Bacteria
Description: partial 16S ribosomal RNA
Rfam family: Bacterial small subunit ribosomal RNA
Source: RNAcentral
UACGUAGGGUGCAAGCGUUGUCCGGAAUUAUUGGGCGUAAAGAGCUCGUAGGUGGUUUGUCGCGUUGUUCGUGAAAACUCACAGCUCAACUGUGGGCGUGCGGGCGAUACGGGCAGACUAGAGUACUGCAGGGGAGACUGGAAUUCCUGGUGUAGCGGUGAAAUGCGCAGAUAUCAGGAGGAACACCGGUGGCGAAGGCGGGUCUCUGGGCCGAUACUGACGCUGAGGAGCGAAAGCGUGGGGAGCGAACAGG